Clupea harengus (Atlantic herring) is the source of this 1071-nucleotide long non-coding RNA. NCBI's taxonomy places the organism in Eukaryota, Metazoa, Chordata, Actinopteri, Clupeiformes, Clupeidae. The record is from Ensembl.
UGCAGAAGACCAACUGAUAACUAUAUUUUAACUCACCAACACGUUUGCCUAGGUUUUAUACGUGCGUUAUUUCGCUCACACCUUUUUUUCACCGAUUUUUCGAAAACCCAUUUAUUUUGCCAUAGGAUUUUUUUCUUUAGAACCACGAAGAUCUAAAUUGCUCACAGGUCACCCCCUCUCGAUUUACUAAGUUAAUAGAACACAACUUCAUUAGUGGAGAAGGUCUUGAUGACUUUUAUUUCGGUACAACAACUGGAAGAUUACACCGGAAGUGUGGGGAGCUCAUGGCUGUCGGUGUACGCGGGACGCUAACGUUAUUACAAAUACAAGGAUUUGUAAGGUGUUCAAUUUCAGUUGCACUGAAUUGAGAAUCGCCCUGAAGCUGCUGCAGGGACUGGAGUUUUACUAGAUUCAUUGAUGGAUCCGAAGGAAACUUCAACAGGCUCAUGGAAAUUCAGCAAGAAAGGUACAGACUAGUUUGAUUAGUUAGUCACGAUGGCAUAACGUGACGUUCAAUCUGGAGACAAACUGGUGAAAUUGAGGACUAGAAACGCUACAAAACGAACACUAACCACCUCUGCCUACUGACUGUUCCUCUCACUCCUAAACUCCACCUCUGCCUACUGACUGUUCCUCUCACUCCUAAACUCAACCUCUGCCUACUGACUGUUCCUCUCACUCCCAAACUCAACCUACUGACUGUUCCUCUCACUCCCAAACUCAACAUUUCUCUGUACUUUUAGCCAAAUCAUUUCAGUCCUCUUUUUAGCUCUGCCUUCAGGAGGUGAAUGUAAUGCACAUCUGGCUAUGCAAGACCAAUAACUGCCACACCAGUAACACAUCUGGAAGGAGUGAAGGUGAUUUUAGUAAUGAAACAACCUGACUGACUGAUUUUCAUGUCUUGGAAUGUUGUGUCCAAAAUCUGCUGUUUUAAAGCAAAAGUAUGCAGCAGCUUGAGAUAAUAGGCAACAAGUAUUGCUGUUAUCUUUAGACUCAUUUUGAUGGUAAGCACACAUCAAAACAGUUCUGUCAUCUGACAUAGACCACACCAUAAGAAAAGCUUUCACAGCA